GGCUUAGUGAGGAGUGUUUCCGUAUUGGUCGUGGUUGACCUUCCCCCCACCUCUAACCCAGAAGACGAGUGAUAGAUCUGCCCUAAAACCAAUCAGAAGUCUUCAGGAUGAGGCCGCGCAGUGCCCUAUAAAAAGCAUACAGUUUGCACCUUAGAGGUGCAGUCUCUCCCAGGUGAGGUAGGGGUGUCCUCCCGGUCUGCCGCUUCCCUCGACCCCCCCACCUGGGCCCUCGAUGCAUCGGGCUCCUCCUCUUCCAGCUGUCACUUUCUCCCCAUUUCUAACCUGCAGCUUGACUCAUCCUCCACCACUAAAAAGUACUAGGGCCAGCUCCCUCCACCACCACUUCACUUCUUCCGUGUCUACCUCUUAAGGCUGGCCUCGAACUCGCCUCGAUCCUCCUGCCUCAGCAUCCUGAGUGCUGGGAUCACAGGCGUGUGCCCCCAUGCCCAGCCACCUGAGCCCUCCAAAGAUGGCUUCUUUGGCUUAAGGAUUUCCCAGGAGCCUCUGCGUCUCCCCUUCACUCCUGCGGUCUGGUCUUUUGUUUGGACGCCUGUUCCCUCUGCCUCCAGGGAAGACUUUCCAAGCCAUCCCUGUCCUCUCCUGCGCAGGCUUGAGAAGGAUCCCAGGGACACAGACCCAGGGUGCAGGCGUCACUUUUGCUUGCCUCCUGGGAUCUCAGUGACCCAGGCUGCCCCAGGCGUCUGAGCCAUGAGAAGUGGCAGAAGCUGGGACCGCGAUCCCCUGCCCCCUGCCUGCCCUGCCCGGCGGGCCGGGCCUGACCGCACCCUGCUCCUUUCCUGUGCCCACUGCUUUGCCCAGGCCAGUGGCCGCCACCAACUGCCACAGAACCUUCUGGCAAGGACGUUCUGCAGGGUUCUCCCUCCUCCUUUUCUGGUUCUGGCCGGGGCUGGGGUCUUCGGGGCCUGGCAAGGAAGGACAGAGACCAGGGGUGGAGCCAUUAGGGCUGAAUCUGGAUCCCGGCCCCCUGCUUUCGCGUGUCACCGCCAGGGGGCGCCCACAGCAUUCCCAGAGCGCGGCCCGGUGUUCAACACCGGGAGACUCUCACGGGUCGGGACUGGGGCCCUGCUGUGCUCUGUCCCUCUCCACCCUCUGCCAACCCAGACGCAGCUCCACAAGGCUGUCCACUCUGCUCCUUGGAGUCAGGCUUCCCACAGUGGCUGGGCGUGGAGGUGCACGCCUGUCAUUCCAGCACUCAGGAAGCUGAGGCAGGAGGAUCACCGAGUUCAAGGCCAGCCUGGACUACUGGAAUCAUACUUAGGGACAAAGGCAGGCUCGGCCCCUCUCCAUGGCUCUCUCUCCCUUCUAGGCCCUGAAUUCUUUCAAAGCCACACCUGGUUGGACACCAGCCCUCGGAGGGUGGCCUCAGCCCCGGAGGGUAAAGCCUGUG
RNAcentral lists this long non-coding RNA (1408 nucleotides) under Heterocephalus glaber (naked mole-rat). RNAcentral describes it as "lncRNA (ENSHGLG00000048530.1)". The record is from RNAcentral. Lineage: Eukaryota; Metazoa; Chordata; Mammalia; Rodentia; Bathyergidae.